GACGAACACUGGCGGCGUGCCUAAUACAUGCAAGUGGGACGCAAGGAAACACACUGUGCUUGCACACCGUGUUUUCUUGAGUCGCGAACGGGUGAGUAACGCGUAGGUAGCCUGCCUAUUAGCGGGGGAUAACUAUUGGAAACGAUAGCUAAUACCGCAUAAUAUUAAUUAUUGCAUGAUAAUCGAUUGAAAGAUGCAAGCGCAUCACUAGUAGAUGGACCUGCGUUGUAUUAGCUAGUUGGUAAGGUAAGAGCUUACCAAGGCGACGAUACAUAGCCGACCUGAGAGGGUGAUCGGCCACACUGGGACUGAGACACGGCCCAGACUCCUACGGGAGGCAGCAGUAGGGAAUCUUCGGCAAUGGACGAAAGUCUGACCGAGCAACGCCGCGUGAGUGAAGAAGGUUUUCGGAUCGUAAAGCUCUGUUGUAAGUCAAGAACGUGUGUGAGAGUGGAAAG
RNAcentral lists this ribosomal RNA (458 nucleotides) under Streptococcus mutans. Its description in RNAcentral is "bacterial SSU rRNA". It matches the Rfam family "Bacterial small subunit ribosomal RNA", at positions 28 to 464 of the family's 1533-position model. The record is from RNAcentral. Lineage: Bacteria; Bacillati; Bacillota; Bacilli; Lactobacillales; Streptococcaceae.